This is a non-coding RNA of Picea glauca (white spruce), 120 nucleotides long. Lineage: Eukaryota; Viridiplantae; Streptophyta; Pinopsida; Pinales; Pinaceae. The record is from Rfam.
GGGAGGGAUCCUUACGGGUGCGAUCAUACCGGAUCCCAUCAGAGCUCUGCAGUUAAGCGCGCUUGGUCUAGAGUAGUACCAGGAUGGGUGACCUCCCGGGAAGUCAUAGUGUUGCACCGU